UCUUCCCCAAUGGGCGCAAGCCUGAGGGAGCGAUACCGCUUGAAGGACGAAGCGUUUCGGCGUGUAAACUUCUGAACUCGGGACGAUAAUGACGGUACCGAGGUAAUAGCACCGGCUAACUCCGUGCCAGCAGCCGCGGUAAUACGGAGGGUGCAAGCGUUACCCGGAUUUACUGGGUGUAAAGGGCGUGUAGGCGGUCAUAUAAGUCCGAUGCUAAGACUAGGCUCAACCUCAGGGGUGCGUUGAUACUGUGUACAGCAUCGAGAGGGAGCGAAUUCUCGAGAGCGGUAAAUGCGCAGUCCAGGGAACGCCAAUGAAAGAGCUCCUGGCGUUUGGCGUGGGCAAAUCGUACUU
Molecule: ribosomal RNA, 354 nt
Filed under: uncultured bacterium
Lineage: Bacteria
Description: bacterial SSU rRNA
Rfam family: Bacterial small subunit ribosomal RNA
Source: RNAcentral